Molecule: ribosomal RNA, 434 nt
Filed under: uncultured bacterium
Lineage: Bacteria
Description: partial 16S ribosomal RNA
Rfam family: Bacterial small subunit ribosomal RNA
Source: RNAcentral
GAACGAACGCUGGCGGCAUGCCUAACCCAUGCAAGUCGAACGAGACCUUCGGGUCUCGUGGCGCACGGGUGCGUAACGCGUGGGAACCUGCCCUUAGGUUCGGAAUAACUCCCCGAAAAGGGUGCUAAUACCGGAUAAUGUCUUCGGACCAAAGGUUUAUCGCCUUUGGAUGGGCCCGAGUUGGAUUAGCUAGUAGGUAGGGUAAAAGCCUACCAAGGCGACGAUCCAUAGCUGGUCUGAGAGAAUGAUCAGACACACUGGGACUGAGACACGGCCCAGACUCCUACGGAAGGCAGCAGUGAGGAAUAUUGGACAAUGGGCGCAAGCAUGAUCCAGCAAUGCCGCCUGAGUGAUGAAGGCCUUAGGGUUGUAAAGCGCUUUUACCCGGGAUGAUAAUGACGGUACCGGAAGAAUAAGCUCCGGCUAACUACGUG